UCGAGCAAAAUGUACAAUUAUUGGUCAGAAAAUGUCGGUCAAAUUUCUAAAUAAUUAUGGCGUACGAAUAAUGAUAUAUCCGUAAAUCGUAUUUUACCGAUUUAAAGAUGUUCAUUAUUCAUUGUAUUGUCACGCCCCCCUCGGGAGAAUGCAGCGGCAGCAGCCACACCUGAGUUACGUCAACUCCCUGUUUAGUUCUGCUUGGCGCUGCAUUAUAUGCAAGGUACUGUUGAGGGUUUUCAUAAGAAGUACAGGGCGGUCUUCCUCCUGUCUACCCCGAUCCGGUCCAUCUGCCUGCUUUGCUGCCAUCCCAUCCCAUCCCAUCCUGAUCCACCCGGACCUCUCCCUUGUACUUGUCCUGCGUCUCGCAUGCCACCUGUAGAACUGGCUUUUGGACUCGAUUGUACUUGCUGAUUCCAGUCCUGUUUGCGUGUUCCCAACAAUAAACCCCGUACAGUACGUUGCCUUCUGUGUCUCUACCAUCCUCCGGGGUUGCAUGUUGUGCAAUACUGUAGUAGCUUGGAUUCAACCAUUAGAUGGCAGUAGUAGCAUAUAGUUGGAGGGAAGUAGAAGAAGGCAAGAGAGGGAAGUUGAGUGUUUGUGCGUUGUUCCCGGAGCUGAUAAGUUAAUAAAUAUUGAACCUCUUGCCAUCCCCAAAUGUGUCUCGGCUGACUCUCAAUAUAUCAAAAGUACAUACCGUCUAUUUAUUUAUGUCUGCCCUUCAAACCGCUAGAUUCCUUCACUAAGCAGGAAGUUUGUCACGACAGCUGACACCAAAUCUCCUGCUGAGCUGGUUCAGACAGAACUAUCCUCAAUUCACCACGAGGGGGCGCCAACGCAGCAGCUUAGUUCUAUUGUUUCGCUUUUUCAAAGACAGUUUUUCUCUUCACAAAAGGACAACUUAACUGAAUAAUGCACUUUCAUAGUAAUUGUUUUUAAUCCGUGUUAAUGUUCUGAACAAUGACUACUAAAGGUUCUGUAAGGUUGUCCCACAUACUAUGGAUUUUAAGUUUUUUAUCAAGGUGUUAAAACGUACCAUCUAUUUUCUGCUGAAAGUUGCCAGUCCUGUGUUUUAUGUCUAGCAAUUUGUACAGUUUCUUCAGUAUGGCACAUAAACACAUGCCAUCAUCUACAGUAUGAGAAUCUCCUCCAGAACUCUGCAUUUCCUCAAGAUUUUUUUGUAAUAUUACAUAGGUGCAUCUCAUGAACCUUAAUUUGCCAAGCAUGUAUUGACUGGGCACAGUACAGUGGUGCAAUUUCUGACAAUGAAAGAACAUCAUGGACCCCUACUCCCCAUUCCUUAACCCGAUCGAGGGGCUCUGCUCAGCAUGGAGUUAGAAGGCUUACGAUCGCUAGCCACAUGCUCAGAUGGCCCUGCUGGCUGACAUGAAUGCAGCAUGUGAGGACAUUACAGCAGAUGCCUGCAGAGGCAGACACUUCACUGGCUGUGGAUGUUGUUCAGCCCAGCUACCUGAUGAGGGUCCAGCAUGGAGACAGUGUGACCCUGACAUGCUUCCGUCCAGAAGAUAUUUCUUUUGCAGUUUGGUUUUAGCAAGCUGCUGGUCAGAAGCCCCAGCUCAUCGCGAAAGCACUUCUCUACGUACCUGGCGGAACCCACCGAAUAGCCCGUCUCGAUCACGCCCACAUGGGCGGGACCAGCCAGGUGCUCCGUAGAACGCUUAAUGACGGAAUGGAUUUAAGCACUGAGCUCCAUCGGGACAUUGCGAAGUAUUGAGCCAUGCUAUUGAGCCAUACCGAGCAAUCUAUUGUCUAUCGUCUACCCGUUGCUUCCUACCUGUUCCGUCCGCCCAGUGUACUUACCUUGUCUGUUCCUCUUCCUCUUCCCAGACCCGUUCCCGAACCUGAACCUCUUGCCCCGCUGAGACCGGCUUCUCCUGGUACUCUUUCCCUGUGUUGUCGUGUCCCGUGUUUGUUCCUCUUUCGGCUUCGGACACAUGCUUCUGCCCCUCGACCAUUCUCCUCGCUUAGCCCCUUUCAUUGCUACGUACUAGUGCUGCCAAUAAAACUUCUGGCUGCGUGCAAAUCUAGAUCUCCGUUCCACUUCUUGGGCCAGUGUUACAGUUAUAAUAUAAUCUUUGUUAUCAUAUAAUGUUAUCAAUGUAUAUUAAAGCUGUUAAGGUAUGUUAGGAUAUUAAGGUAUACGAAUUACAUGGUGAUUAUGAAUGUUAUAUGAAUGCAUUGUAAAUGUAUAAUGUAGGUGCAGUUAAUGUAAAGUGUUACUGAAUAUAUACUAAUAAAUAGUUAUACAACAAAAAGAGACAAGAAUGUCAACUAUUCUCCAAGAAGUUACUUAUUUUAUGGAUGGAUAGAACAACAUGACAUCCAUUCCAAAAUAUUUCUAAAAUCGGCAAGAAAUAUUUUUCAGGAUCUGUGUUUUCCAUUGUGACUCUCAAAGCGCUGUCAUCAUCAACAUUUUGCUUUUCAGGUAAAGACUCCAACAGCAAGACUGUGGUACAGCAGCCUGUGUCUGACACUGUGUCUGACACAGACUCUGUGAGUCUGCAGUGUACGAUAGAGACUGGGAGCUGUGCAGGAGAACACAGUGUUUACUGGUUCAGACAUUGUUAGAGUGUAUCUGUGUAUUUUAUCAUAUUAUUAUCCUCCUAUAUGUGUACGUGCAACCCUUAACAACUAACCCAUGGCCCAGAAAGGGUUGCAGACAAGAUGUCCUCACAGGGGCCUACCAGAUUGUGACGCAGGAAUAAGAGACCUUGAGAAAGGAAACAGAUUCUGUCAACAUAGCAGGGGGCCCACCUUGAGAUAUGUAAUGCUUUGUAUUAACCCUGUUUCACGGAGGCCUCACACAGCAUUGACUAGUUUAAAGACAAGACCCAUGUAACCCCUCCCCUACCCUAUAAAUAAAGAAGCCAAGGGACUGUCCGGUGUGACACUCAACAGAGGCGCAGAUACUGUCUGUUGCACCUGAAGUGGGCACCCUUGCGCAAGUAAAACAGAAA
Long non-coding RNA from Brienomyrus brachyistius, 2978 nucleotides. RefSeq lists it as uncharacterized. The transcript has 3 exons. Lineage: Eukaryota; Metazoa; Chordata; Actinopteri; Osteoglossiformes; Mormyridae. The record is from RefSeq and is a predicted model, not a curated record.